RNAcentral lists this ribosomal RNA (253 nucleotides) under uncultured bacterium. RNAcentral's name for it is "partial 16S ribosomal RNA". It matches the Rfam family "Bacterial small subunit ribosomal RNA", at positions 524 to 776 of the family's 1533-position model. The record is from RNAcentral.
UACGAAGGGGGCUAGCGUUGUUCGGAAUUACUGGGCGUAAAGGGCGCGUAGGCGGCGUGUCAAGUCAGGCGUGAAAGCCCCGGGCUCAACCUGGGAACCGCGCUUGAGACUGGCAUGCUCGAGUUCGGGAGAGGAUGGUGGAAUUCCCAGUGUAGAGGUGAAAUUCGUAGAUAUUGGGAAGAACACCGAUGGCGAAGGCAGCCAUCUGGAUCGACACUGACGCUGAGGCGCGAAAGCGUGGGGAGCAAACAGG